RNAcentral lists this long non-coding RNA (1440 nucleotides) under Amphibalanus amphitrite. Its description in RNAcentral is "uncharacterized LOC122386876". The record is from RNAcentral. Lineage: Eukaryota; Metazoa; Arthropoda; Thecostraca; Balanomorpha; Balanidae.
UCCAAAAUGAAAAUAAAGUAACUUUUCAAGAACUUUUCAAGGUAGAUAAGAAUAAUGAGAGACUCUUUUAUAGAUGACAGUUUUUUUGUGCAUGGAGACAGCUUUUAGGAUUUACAAAAGUGGAAAAAGUUACCCCGGCCGCGCCGGGGUCGGCUGAAAGUUACCCCGGCCACGGCCGGGGUGGCCGGGGCAGGUUCUCCACCCAUGAAAACAUGUAUUUUUCAGUAGAAGAAAUAAUUUUUAAUGAAAAAGAGCCUUACUAUAUGACACGAUGUUUAUCGAUUUUAACAGUUCAAACCACUUUAAAUGGAUAUCCCUAAGGAACAUCUCUAUAAUGCCUCAGUGCUUCCGGUCCUUCCUUUCUCGAAAGUACUGCGAAGGCUGCCGGCAGCGUGGUUGUUCCUUUCGCGAGUUGGUGUCUGGCGCACAGCGCGAACGUCUCAUGAGCAAGAAGCCGUAGAGACGAUGCUCUCAAUGUUGGACACCGAAGUGAGGCAACUCAUCAGGCACAACGCCAAAAUGUCCCUGUUGUGUCCUGGCCUGGGUCACGCGUGUCGCGCCUUGACAGCCGUGACCUUGAACGACCUUGACCGGCCGGGCCGGGCCGAGCGGCCGAGGGUCAGUAUCGUCCGAGCGGCGCUGGUGUCAACACAGCUGAGUGCCGCGAGGUGAGGUGAGGCGUGUUCGCCGAGACGGUCCGGCCACAGUGAAAUAGUGAAAUAGUGGUGUAAUCGAUAAUAUGCGUGGCCAGUACGCGAGUGAGAUUGACCCUGUGCGCGACACCGAUUCAGAGACGCACAUAAGUUAACACCGUCGUGUCGGAUCGCUCGUACCGGUGAUGGGAGACAACGAGCAGCUGGAGCGUCUGAUGGCGCUCAUGGCUCAGCAGUCAGCAGGCUGCCAUGCUGGAGCAGCUCCUCCCCAGCCAGAUGUACCAGCUGCGCAAACUGUCUAGAGCGGCCAACCGGCUGUCGUCGCCUCCGCCGCUCCUAUGGCUAGACUUCGGUCUCGCAUGGACUCCCGUCGGUAGUGUUCACAUGCCAGCCCAUACAUUUUACCUGUAUUAACUUUUUAAUGUCUGUGCCUGUGUAACUAUUGUACGUGCCUGUACUUAACAGUGUUUGAAUUGUAUAUCGUUCGCACAGUCUGUGGACCGUGGGGAGCGCCGCUUGACAUGCAUUUUUGCACUUACCUGCAUUCCGUGUUAAAAGUAAAGUAAAGUAAAGGGACUGAGCUGUCGUGCACCGGGAGAUAUUAUGGUCUCUUGCUAAACGACUCAGUUGAAACUCAGCACGCUGGUCGGUACUGACUGGGGCGGCACGCGAAAGGGUUUGGGCAGCUUUUAAAAAAAAAAUGUUCGCAUCGAAUGACUGCAUCGCAUGUUCUGUUCCAGAGUGAGUUUUUUGACAUCUGACACAAUAAAUAUACAUGCCUGUUCUU